Non-coding RNA from Capsicum annuum, 108 nucleotides. Lineage: Eukaryota; Viridiplantae; Streptophyta; Magnoliopsida; Solanales; Solanaceae. The record is from Rfam.
UAAUUAUUAUGGGGGAAAUUCUUGAGAAUAGCUAGGAAUCAUUCCCUAGCAUUGUGAAGAUUCUCUCCAUCCUUCUGUAAAAAACUCAAAAAUAUCACUUCUCAAAUA